Molecule: long non-coding RNA, 549 nt
Filed under: Homo sapiens (human)
Lineage: Eukaryota; Metazoa; Chordata; Mammalia; Primates; Hominidae
Description: HSALNT0355074
Source: RNAcentral
UAGGUUUUUCACAGCAGAGGGAAGAAGGGCCGGGACCUGAGCCUGCCCCCACUCCUUCGUCCUUCCAAAAUUCCCCUGGAUUAUUGGCUGAUUUAUUUCCCAAUAUCCCCUAUGAGGCAGAGCGGUGAAGGCUUCCUUUUCUGGGACUAAAUGAAUAUGGGGAUGAAUACGUCUGGGUCAACAAACACACAAAAACCAACAGCUAGGAACUUGUGGAUUUCAGGAUAAAAUGACAUCUAUGGAGAAACGCCUGAUACAGCCGUUCUUAUUUUUCCACUAAAUACCCAGGAAGGCAGAGAAAAAGAUGAAACCUCAGUUGGUUUGGAAACAGAGAUGGCUGCCAAACUCAUACCAGAAGCUGGGAGGAGUUUCUACUAAUGAUCACGGCAGAGGACAAUGUUGGAGAGAAACUUGUGACUCAGGGACCAGGGAUGAAGCAAGCAUGAGACCACCUGCUACGCAGAAGGACCAUGCCGACCACAUCACAGCUGUCUGCCUGGAGCCACAGGCGACUUGGUAUGAGCAGGAAAUAAACUUCUCUCAAGCUGU